This 130-nucleotide small RNA is filed under the name uncultured Enterobacter sp. Its description in RNAcentral is "istR Hfq binding RNA". It matches the Rfam family "istR Hfq binding RNA". The record is from RNAcentral. Lineage: Bacteria; Pseudomonadati; Pseudomonadota; Gammaproteobacteria; Enterobacterales; Enterobacteriaceae.
GUCAAAAUCCGUGCCUGAAUUGCGCGUUCGCCUGCGAUCGCGUAUACUUUUUGCGUUGACGUAACACAGUGUGUUCGGCGGCGACCAACCGCAAAACCCUGAAAAAAACCUCGCUCCGGCGGGGUUUUUU